Molecule: ribosomal RNA, 266 nt
Filed under: uncultured bacterium
Lineage: Bacteria
Description: partial 16S ribosomal RNA
Rfam family: Bacterial small subunit ribosomal RNA
Source: RNAcentral
CGACCGGCGCACGGGUGAGUAACACGUAUGCAACCUGGCCGUCACAGGUGGAUAACCGGAAGAAAUUCCGACUAAUACAGCAUAACACUCCUGAGGGACAUCCUUCGGGAGUCAAAGGAGGCAACUCCGGUGACGGAUGGGCAUGCGGCGCAUUAGGUAGUUGGUAGGGUAACGGCCUACCAAGCCGACGAUGCGUAGGGGUUCUGAGAGGAGGGUCCCCCACAUUGGAACUGAGACACGGUCCAAACUCCUACGGAAGGCAGCAG